AUUAAUUUAAUAUAUUUAUAGAAUACAUAUAUUAUUUAUAAAUAAUAAAUAAAUAAAGCAUUAGUAGCUUAAUUGGUU
This 78-nucleotide transfer RNA is filed under the name Candidozyma auris. RNAcentral describes it as "tRNA-Ile". Lineage: Eukaryota; Fungi; Ascomycota; Pichiomycetes; Serinales; Metschnikowiaceae. The record is from RNAcentral.